This is a long non-coding RNA of Acinonyx jubatus (cheetah), 2169 nucleotides long. RefSeq lists it as uncharacterized. The record is from RefSeq and is a predicted model, not a curated record. Lineage: Eukaryota; Metazoa; Chordata; Mammalia; Carnivora; Felidae. The transcript is spliced from 3 exons.
GGAGAUGACGUGCCUUGACUCUGGGCUGCUUCCUGGACGUUCCAGGCUGUGCUCCCACUUUGGGAGCAGGACACGCUCAGGCCAGAGGCAAAGACCAUGCGAUCCACUUUCUCCCUCUGCUUCAAGGACAGGAAGCUGCGCCCCGGCAGCAUCAGGACACUUGUCUCUGGGCGAGAGAGCAUCAGACAUGGGACUCAGAACCAGGUCUCCAGAUUCCCCACCGUUCAUCUGGGCCGGGAAGAGAAAGAGAAAUCGAAGCCCCCAGCCCUUUGUCACACCAUGUCGCACCCAGGCCACGGCCACAGCCACAGCACACCUACAUCUGGUCUCCUUCACACUCCUUUUGUGAGCCCACUGAGCGCUGUUCCCGGCCGUCAACUGAUGCUCGCACGCAAGUGUCUGGCUAGAGCUGCGGGCGAUGUUUGUUUAAAAGCUAGGACAGCACGUGAGAAGCAGACCCUGCUCAGCGUGGCUCCCUUCACGCAAGUCAGCCACACGUUCUCCCUGCUAGUCGAUGCCUGCUUGGUUCUGGAGACCGAGGGCUUUUGGUGUGAACGUCAGGUGAGCGCUGCCCUGGGACAGUCCUGGGGGACAGCUGCUGACCUGCCUCUGAAAGUCAGGUCAGGUCCCUCAGGGCUGGCAUGAAUACAAGAAGUGGCAAUCUUGAGGCAGGUGGAUUCUUGAGUUGGAUUAGGAUGGGCACGGAGUUGCAGAGCCCAGUCUAAGCUGGAACAUCCUCUUCUGGCUUCAAAACCUUAUGUGUGGCAAGUCUUGGUCAUGAUUGAGUGACCCAGGCUGCUGGAAAUGCCACAUCAUUUUUCUAGUAACUGUGUUCUUUCUGUAGGACGGUCACUCUGAGGGUAGGGGUUUCUGGGAGGGGGCAUGUAAAGUCUCUGUGGUAUAAAGAAGCCUUUCUUCUGACGUGCGACUCGAAAAAUGAUCCCCCGUUGGGGAACGCCAUGACACUUCAUGUGUAACAUAUACAAACGUCCCCUGGCAACUGUAGUCUGGGGGAACCCGAUAUGGCCUGAGCCCUAGGUGUGCAGAGAGAUGGUAAGACUAGCAAUAUGUUGACCUCUUUCCAAGCCUCCUCCAGUUAAGAAAGGACUUAGGGACAAAAAUGAAAUAAUAAAGUUGGAAUCAUUGAAUACCAGCUCUAAGAACUUUAGUUUUCUCAGCUGUGACAUGAGACUUGAGUGAGCAUAUCCUUAGUAACCUAGUGAGGUCUUACCCACAGAGGUAAUAUCAAAGCCCAACCCUUUGGCCCUCAGUCAAAUGCCCACAAAGAAUCCUGGGGAAGUGAUUCUUGAGAAUGAAAUGUCUUUGUAUUCUUGUGGGAUGGUCAUGACUCGGGAAAGGUAUCACAGAAUUAGUCACAUAAGUAAAACAUGAAACUUUCAUUUUCUUGGAUCUGUUUUGUUGCUACUGCACCAAUUGGAGACAAUUGCCCCAGAUGCAAUCCCUUUGAGUAAAUGUCUUCCCCAGCGAUCAGGGUACAGGCGUUUUCUAAAGGUUGCAAAGGGCCUUAGAAUCAUGGGGAGUCAGUACUUGGGAGUGCCCACAAGACCACCUAGUCAAGUCUUGCCAUUUUGUUACAGGGGUUUGAGGCCCAGAGUGAAAAAGAGACUUAAGCACUUGAUCUGUGUCCAUUAGAUUCUCCUCUACAGAAAGGAGACAAGGAGUGGAGAGAAGAGUUUCCAGCUAUCACAGGCACUGGGGUUUGAAGGUCACACAGCCUUGAGAACAUGGGAGGCAGGUUUUGUUUGUUUGUUCACAUUUGCUGGGAUGAGUAAGCUGUUGAACACAUCAGUCUUCAGAGAGUGGGGAGUGGAACCAUUGAGCAGGGAGGGCUUUUCCUGCCCUGGCUUCCCUGCAACCCUUGAAACGCUACUUUAGUGGAAUGAACUAAGUUGGUUCAUUGACAUGCAGAAGAGCUGUGGCCAGAACAAGAGGUAUUGGGUGUGCAGAGGAACUGGACUAAGUGACCUCCAAGGGCCCUUCAGCUGGAGGCACUCUGAUGUCAGGAGUCUUGGGUUUCAGGGCUACUGGAGCUCCACUGAGAUUGUGGGUGGUCUCUGGGAAAGAGUCCCUGAGCUCCUUGGGGCUCAUAAUAUGGUCCACAGACAAAUAGCAUCAACAUCACCAGGGAGCUUGCUGGAGACGUGGAAC